GUGACAGCCCCGUACACAAAAAUGCACAUAUUGUGAGCUUGAUGAGUAGGGCGGGACACGUGGUAUCCUGUCUGAAUAUGGGGGGACCAUCCUCCAAGGCUAAAUACUCCUGACUGACCGAUAGUGAACCAGUACCGUGAGGGAAAGGCGAAAAGAACCCCGGCGAGGGGAGUGAAAAAGAACCUGAAACCGUGUACGUACAAGCAGUGGGAGCACGCUUAGGCGUGUGACUGCGUACCUUUUGUAUAAUGGGUCAGCGACUUAUAUUCUGUAGCAAGGUUAACCGAAUAGGGGAGCCGAAGGGAAACCGAGUCUUAACUGGGCGUUAAGUUGCAGGGUAUAGACCCGAAACCCGGUGAUCUAGCCAUGGGCAGGUUGAAGGUUGGGUAACACUAACUGGAGGACCGAACCGACUAAUGUUGAAAAAUUAGCGGAUGACUUGUGGCUGGGGGUGAAAGGCCAAUCAAACCGGGAGAUAGCUGGUUCUCCCCGAAAGCUAUUUAGGUAGCGCCUCGUGAAUUCAUCUCCGGGGGUAGAGCACUGUUUCGGCAAGGGGGUCAUCCCGACUUACCAACCCGAUGCAAACUGCGAAUACCGGAGAAUGUUAUCACGGGAGACACACGGCGGGUGCUAACGUCCGUCGUGAAGAGGGAAACAACCCAGACCGCCAGCUAAGGUCCCAAAGUCAUGGUUAAGUGGGAAACGAUGUGGGAAGGCCCAGACAGCCAGGAUGUUGGCUUAGAAGCAGCCAUCAUUUAAAGAAAGCGUAAUAGCUCACUGGUCGAGUCGGCCUGCGCGGAAGAUGUAACGGGGCUAAACCAU
Molecule: ribosomal RNA, 822 nt
Filed under: Shigella sonnei
Lineage: Bacteria; Pseudomonadati; Pseudomonadota; Gammaproteobacteria; Enterobacterales; Enterobacteriaceae
Description: partial 23S ribosomal RNA
Rfam family: Bacterial large subunit ribosomal RNA
Source: RNAcentral